AAAAGAACCAAAUCAGUCUGUAAGUUGCUACAGAUUGUUGCUAUGAAUUAUCCCAAAGCCUUUGUGCCAGCAUAUUGAUUGCCUUAAAGUCAAGUGAGAAUAGAUGCACAGCUUAGAAGAGCCAUAAAAAACCCUCUACAGGAGCAAAGAGAUUAUUCAUCCAUACCAUUUAAAAAUGUAGCUUGUAGGUACACGAGUAUGAUUAGCGAAUAAGUGCAGCUCUGACAACUUCAAAAUUGUGACACAUGCAGCCAACUCUCUGCCAAUUCCUUAAAUAAGUUGAUUGCCUAGAAGGAAGCUUUUCUGAUUAGUAAUAGAAGAUACAGGUCAUCACCUUCAUUCUGCAAUGGAGCUCCAGCAUCUAAUGUAUGUAGAGACACUCACCUGUAGACGUGGUAACCUGGAAUUGUCUCCCACCUCCAAUUUCUCCCUCUUGUCAGGGGAGCUACAGGAACACUAAGGGAUGGUCCAUCCCAACCUGUUACUAGGAGAAGCUGAGUGAGUCACUGCCUGCAGGUUCCCGUGUCUGUGUACUCACUGGAGAAGACAUCCAGAAUGCCAGUUUACCCUGGAUACCAGCUACUACAGGGACGGAAUCAGACGACAUCGAUCCUCUCCCUGUGAUUCCCUUCAGCAAAUAUCCCAGCAAAGGCUGCAGCCAGCACCGCUGGUUUCAGAGGAAAGGACAAAGACAUUUGCUCAAAGGAAGGUUCCUACCUGUCAGUGUUUGGGGAGGAAGUGUACAGCUUGCAUGAAGAUUACGUUGGAGCCCUUCAAAAGAAGUGGACAGAGCUCCCAAACCUCAGAGGUACAGAGACAACCAACUUUUGAAGAGUCCUUGAAGAGUCACACCAGACAUGUCUAUACAGAGCAACAAGCAGAGUUUGGGAUGGUUCUGGAACCAAUCCCAAGUCCUCUAAUAGCUGAACAAGUGCACAACUCAUCCCAUUUGGCUUCUCAUAGAAGUGGCCCCUUCCCUGGAACUGCCCAAGGAUCGAUUCUCAGGAGUUUGCAGAUCUCAGCCUCAGUAACAGGAUCCCAUCUCUGGAUAAAGAACAAGAAACCACUGAAGAGUGGAGAAGCCAGACCUCCUGUAGUAUGCAGUGGCCCAUCUUCAGCAGAGUAUAGUCCCAUGAAGAUUUUAGAUCACACUGGUGGAAAAACAUCCCUGGAGAAUAAGAACUGUGGUACCUCUCUCAGGCAGAUGAAAGUCUUGGUCCCAGACUUGCUUCAUUUUCACAAGAGUUCUAGCCAGAAGAGACAAAAUUCAGCUGCAGAUGCUUCUUCCUCUUCCUUCUUGGUCAGCCAUGCUCCCUCACACAACAUGGGCUUUGUGGCCCAGUUUUUGACCUGGAGAAAGGAACGGAGAAAGAACUGUGCCAACAGCCAUUAGUGAUGGAUCUGACAUGCAGUCUUAGAACCUGUGAAGAUCAAGGUUUGGAAAUUGUUCCUGGAAACAAAGAUCUGCAUGUGGGUUGGAAUAAUUAAAGGCAACAGCUCAGGCUGAGGAGUGCCUGACUAGGAAUCAUCCUUGCAGAACAGACUUGGGGUGCUGAGGUACAAGGAGUUGAACAUGACUUUUGCCAACAAGUUUUAUAAUGAGAAAUGUUAACUGCACAAAGGGCUGCGUUGGCAAAACAGCUGAGCAUCUGAGCAAGUGGGUUUCCCCCUCUGCUUUUCGUGUGUAAGGAGAACACAUCCAGACUACUGAGUUCAGUUUGGAUUUCACAGAAUAAAAAAGUCAUCAAUGAGCUAAAGCA
Molecule: long non-coding RNA, 1760 nt
Organism: Cyanistes caeruleus (blue tit)
Lineage: Eukaryota; Metazoa; Chordata; Aves; Passeriformes; Paridae
Source: Ensembl